AAAAUCGUUUUUCUCUUUCACGACGUUCUUCCCGGAUUCAUAAGCGGGUGAGUGCGACGAGUUCAGUUUGUUUGUUAAGCUAAUGAUGUGUGUAGUCAAGUAUCCCAAGGCUAUAUUAAGCCACUUAUUAACUCACCGAAUGUGAAUCUUUCUUUUCAUGUUCACCUAACAUCCUCAUCCGAACUGAUAUAACAGAUUGUUGUAUGGCGUGGUCAUCUUGGAGUGUCUGCAAAGAAUGCAACCAGUACCGGCAAAGAGUCGAAUUUAACUGCUCAAGAACUCAGGAAUCACGGCCUUGUAACUGU
Pocillopora verrucosa is the source of this 305-nucleotide non-coding RNA. The record is from RefSeq and is a predicted model, not a curated record. Lineage: Eukaryota; Metazoa; Cnidaria; Anthozoa; Scleractinia; Pocilloporidae.